GAUUGAUUUGCCCUUUGUUGUAAAUGGACCGGACGUACAAAUACAAAAUAGAAUUUUGUCAAACAGCUUCAUGACGCGAUAAGAAAAUGUCGAAUCAAAUAACGGAGCGCGUAGCUUCGAAUUGUGCUCGAUGGCUCCACACGUAUGUAAAUUAUUUCGAGUCAAUUCAGUGAACAGUCAGUCGGUGUUACGUUAGCGUUAUUCUAGUACGCUCUUCGCGGACUCCAGCGGAAACCAGUCGAUAUUAUGUGGUCCGAACGAAGAAAUUGCAUAUUAAUUUUACAAUUAUGAUGCCUAUUGUGUAUACGGUGUAUGGAUUUGCCAUAUUUUUUAUGAUCGCAUGGGUUUGUCUGUGGUUAAUUCACAUAAUGGCUUUUUCAUAUUCAAAGUGGAAGUUGCAUAGAACAGUGGACCGGUCGCCACCUGAACAGCCGUACCCGGGCAUCUCAAUCAUAAAACCACUUACUGGUAUCGACCCGAACUUAUUAUCGAAUCUCGAGACAUUUUUCACCCUAGAUUACCCAAUGUACGAGAUACUAUUCUGUGUGGAGUGUGAAGAUGAUCCGGCUGUAAUGUUAGUGCAGCAGACCCUACAGCCGAAGUAUCCCCAUGUAGAUGUGAAACUGUUCAAAGGCGGGAAGCGGGUAGGAGUAAACCCUAAAAUAAAUAAUAUGCAACCCGCAUACUUAUCAGCAAAAUACCCCCUCGUGCUUGUGAGCGAUGCCGGGAUCCGGAUGCGCGAAGAUACUUUACUAGACAUGGUGCAGCACAUGCGAGACGACGUAGCUAUAGUGCAUCAGAUGCCGUUCGCGUGUGACGCCGAAGGCUUCGCUGCGGUAUAUGAAAAAGUGUACUUUGGCACAGCACAGGCACGGAUGUACCUAUGCGCGGACUUCCUAGGAAUCAAUUGUCACGUUGGAAUGUCGUCGUUGGUGCGAAAGGAAGCGCUGGACGAUGUGGGUGGCCUUGCGGCUUUCGCGGACUAUUUAGCGGAGGACUAUUUCAUGGCACAGGCGAUAGUAUCUCGCGGGUGGCGUAUGCGGGUGGCGUCGCUGCCGGCGCUGCAGAACGCGGGCUCGCGGUCGGUGGGCGCGUUGCAGGCGCGCCUUACGCGCUGGGCACGGCUGCGGAUCGCGAUGGUGCCGACCACCACGAUGCUGGAGGUGCUCAGCGAAUGUUUACCGCUCGGCGCCGGCGCCGCGUGGGCCGCUGGACAGUUAUUUAGUGCGGAACCAUUAGCAUUCUUCUUAGUGCAUGUGUUAGUGUGGUUCCUGUCAGACUGGUUAAUGCUGCGGUCGGUACAGAACGGCUCGCCUCCGUUCACCAAAGUGCAGUUCCUGCUCGGCUGGGUGUGGAGCGAGUGCUGUGCGCCAUUUGUGCUGGCCACUGCACUGUUUAGCCCGGAAAUCUCGUGGAGGACUCGCUGCUACCGUUUGGACUGGGGUGGCCGAGCGCACGAACUCAAGCCACCUCAUACACAAAAGCUUUAAUUUGGUGAAUGUUUACACAUUUUAAUGUAAAAAUGUUAAUGCUUGCUGUGUGUGAAUGGGAGUGACUGUAAAGAUAAAUUUUUAUUUUAAUUCCUAUUUUAUAAUAUGUCAACUCAUUGCUUUUAUUUUAGAAAAAAAAUAUGUACAAUUUUAUAUUGAUUACGUCCAAUGUUUUGAUUUUGCAAUAAUUGCCAUUAUGGUACUAUAAUGUAUCAUCAUAUUAAAGUACAAGUACUAAAUAAACAAAGUACUAAGUAAUAUAUAAAUAAAUUAACAUUGUGUUAUUAUAAACACAAAUUAAGACUGUUAAUUCGAGUUCAAAUCAUUAAAAUUCAUUUACUUACCUGUUUGCAAUAAAGUCAUCAGUGUAAUCUUAAAAUUUAAAUUAAACAAUUUAUUAUAUUCAGCUUCAUUCUUACUGUAGAGUAUUUAUAUGAAUGAUAUUAUCUCGGUAAUGAGUACUAUUAAUAAGAAAUCAAAGGAUAUUGAAGAUUGGAAAUACUCUACAGAAGCCAAAUUAUGCCAAUUUUUAGCUCUAUUUCUUUUUCUCAUGUGAAAUAUCUAGAUCUGAAUAUUUCAUUAAGCACACUUAUUUAAAGAAGUUAAGAAAUUAAUGUCAUAAUAUUUUGUUACCAAAUCUUUGAGAAAUUUUCAUCCAUAACAUGUAGAUGGAUGUCAAGUCAUUUGGGAAUUAAGAUUAUUAAUCCAAUAAACUUUAUUAUCUAUACAGAUAAAAAUUAUCAAUACUUUGUGUGUUGAUUGUGAAAUCAAUGCUUUAUAUGGUUGUACUGCAAGCUUCUUUGAUUUAUUAGAGGAUUGUUUAAACAAAUCAAAGGACAAAUACUGUUAACACUAAUAUAAAAGUAUGCUGUCGAGUCAGAAGUUUGUACUUUAACCAAGUCCUAAACGUUAAUCGAAAUGCAAGUAAAUAUUUCGAGUUAUCCAUACAAAUACAGCGCGUCUAGUAGUGAACUUAUUUUAUCAGAAGCUCUGAAUUAUUUGUUGCUGUCUACUCGUUUAAGGAAUGUUCUACUUUCUUGAGAGAACACUCCCUUAAGAGUACGUAAGAAAAGAGAAUUUUAAGUGUAAAUAAAAAGGACAGAAGAAUUUGUGAGGAAUUAUAUUGCUUUAUUCGGUUCAAAUUCAGUAUUGGAAAGAUACUGCACUGCUGAAAGACUCGUAAAGGUAUGCAAAUGAUUUCAACUUCGCCUUGUAUUUAGUUUAUGUGCAGAAUUAUGGUUUAAUACCAUCACUGCGUACUUAGUUUUAUUAAUGCUUCGUAUAUAAAGCCCACAAAAUUAGCCGCAGUAUGCCGCGUAUGCAUGGACGGCUUUUUCAAAUAAUAUACCUACAGGCACGAAAAAGAAUUACGUGAAUGUGCGCUUAUGCCAGAACGGCUAACGCGACGACUGAUUUAUCGUUUUAAAUUCGACGACAACCCUCGGCGUACUUUUUACCCGCCUAAAUAGAACACCAGAUACCCAUUGCGUAAUACAUACGAGUCAGUGGAACGUUCUCGAAGAACAUAACGCAGGCGAGCUGGUAAGGAAGUUGGUGUGAAGAUAGUAUCAUUCACUUUUCUUUCGUUUUUUUUUUGUAAGUGACUACGGCCGCCCAUGAUUACCCACAACACCAAUAUAUAUAUACACACAAACGAACUACAUAUUAUUAAUAUAAGACGAUGAAAACACUGCCAGAGGCCGUUGUAUUAUAACGCUAUUGAUAAAAAAUUACCUAACUCAAAAUUGACAAUGCCAUGAAGUGCAUUUAUGCAUACUACUUAAUUCCAGGACAAACUUUUUUGUAGUAGGAUCUACUUUGAAGCGUCAUUCUCGAUCACUAAAUUUUAAAUUAAAUUUCUACAUUGCAACUUAUUAGUCUAAAGAGCUUAUCAAACUAAAUUCAUGAAAGAAUGGAAUUAGAAUAUUUAUUUGCAUUUAAUUUUCGAAGGUCCGUGACAUAAACCUUUUACUAAACUAUCAAUUUAAAUUUGUAAUUCUUUAGUACAAUUCUAAGAACGAGGAGUGACGCUUCACAAAAAAAUCCUGUUAUCCACUUUUAUAUAUAAACGUUAUAUUGUACGAUGACUAAUUAUUACGUAAAUCUCUUUUUGUAUUGAGUUUAUAAUAAACAUAAAAUCAAUUAUUGUUCACGGAAUACCUAUAUGACUUUGUGUAUACUUUACCUUGCAUCGUCAUUUUUCAGUGACAUAAUGCCACUGACAUCAUUCGUGCACUGAUAAAAUUAAUAGCCCGAAUUCCGGUGAGUGCAACGAUUGUUGUCCGGUCAAAAGCUAAACUAAACCUUGUUGCAUUGUCUUAAAACUUACUUUCAUUAUACCCAAAACAUAUAGCUGUCACUAUAUGCAUCACAAUUUGAACAAAGGUCAUUUUAUUCUACAGUUGAAAAUGCGAUCCCAUCUAGCAAAUGAAUCAAUUUCUAAAUACAUUUAUACGGCAGCAGAUAAUGAGCAAGGCAACGUGUCUCAUCUUUUUCUUUUAAUAGCAUCAUUGCGUGUGGUAUCAAAGCUUGUUUAAAAAUGAUUUCAUUUGCCACUUGUCUGAAGGAUCUGCUCAGCGGGAGUUGGUAUAACCUAAUUACUAACUUCUGUUUUAAUAAAUUGGAAAUACCAAUUUAUUAUUGUAAUAUUUUUACUGAUUAUGUAUUUGUGGCUAUCUCUUUUUUUUUAUUUUGGUCCUGUCAAAUUUUGUGUUCGGAUAUCGAGUCGCCACUGAAUCUUGACGUCCUCCUGUAAAACAGACCGCGUUCUGUCUCAGUACAUAUAAAAAAAAUUAAUUAUAUAUCGUAGGAUAAUUGUAUACCUGUAAUUCCUAAGUUCUCUAAGAAAGUUUCACUGCAAUUUUAUAAAAUUAUUCGGAUGCGAGUUUCAAACUGAUUUUUCUGAUUUGUCGGUCGUCUGCGGUAGGCCUAAAAUCCUCUAUUAAUUCUAUAUUUAGUUACCGAAAUAAUAGGGCGUAUGAAAACUUUCAGAAUAAUGCCACAUGUGAAAUAAUUAUAAGAAUCUCGAGUUUUCUUUAUAUUUCAGAUACAGUCGGAGCUAAUAUAAAUGUGGUUUCUGGAAAUAUCUCCCUUACAUCCUAUAUAAAUCGUCAUAUCUAUACAAACAUUAAAUGUAAAAUGUUGUCACUGUGUUCUGAAAACCGCGUAAUAACCUUUUUUUUUACAUAUAGAACAGCUUAGCCCGCGUUCACUUUCAAUGCAAUAGAUUAAAAAAAUGACGCUUUCAAAGUACACAUAAGCAACAUAAUAUUAUGCCAUAAACGAUUGAAUAUAAUUUCAAUAAAGAUAUUUAAAACGGAAAACCGUUACUUUUUUGCUUAGUGAAUAAAGAGCAAUAGAAUAUUUCAAGUAGAUCUUUAAAAAAUAUAUUAGACGUGCAUUCUUUACUCCUGCAAAAUUUGUUUCCACUUGUAUAGAACGCAAUUGAAAUAAAAAUAGGAACACGCACUGACGUCAUACUGUCACUAUUAUUUGAAAACGUUAGGUUUAAAAAAACUGAGUACUUUUAUAUUUAUCAAAAAAAUUUUUUUGUUAAGUCUACUUAGCCGGUUUUAUUUGAUAAACGUCACAAAUAUGACUAAGUGCUCUUUACACGCCCAUUUUUAACCGCUUUGUUACGUGGUUUUCAGAAUAUGGUGGGUGACGUACUUGUACCUUUGGACUGAUGGUGGCAUGAGGAAAUGUAUUAAAAAAAAACACGGGGGUUAAAAAGCCACUUUAUGCUAAUCAUAAUACGAUUGAUUUCGUAUAACCCAGCCUAUGAAGGUGUCACACAUUAAUAUCACGUCAUAAACAUUGUUGAAUUCUACUGGGUAUACGUAAUGAAUUAUAUGAUUCGUAUAUUUUAACCCCCCAGAUCUGACUGGGGACCAAGGGUUUGUUUUAUUUUGUGAUAUAUUAUUUGCAGGUGUGUUUGGAAGUUAUUUUAGGGUAUAUACCAAAGAAUGUUGAGAUGUAAGACUGGAGUAGCGUAGUGCGUCCAAAGGUACUAUGCUUUUUCCAAUUUUUUUUUAUUGUAAACUUUUAAACUGACCACACAGGUCAAAGCAACAUAAUAUUAUGCCAUAACCGAUUUUUUUUUUACCUUAUAACAAAGUGUAAAAGUGACUUAGUAUUUCGUUGUUUUACAUGACAUGGUCGCUUGUACUGAUGUGUUUAUACUGAUUUCCUUUUUGAAGGAACACAAUUUUCAUUAUGUCAGUACCUGAAUACAAUUUAAGUACAUUAAAGUAUUUAAAUCCCUA
This is an RNA transcript of Galleria mellonella (greater wax moth), 5755 nucleotides long. It is a transcript of the gene named ceramide glucosyltransferase, with no coding region annotated. The transcript has 2 exons. NCBI's taxonomy places the organism in Eukaryota, Metazoa, Arthropoda, Insecta, Lepidoptera, Pyralidae. The record is from RefSeq and is a predicted model, not a curated record.